Molecule: long non-coding RNA, 2394 nt
Organism: Parus major (Great Tit)
Lineage: Eukaryota; Metazoa; Chordata; Aves; Passeriformes; Paridae
Exons: 2
Source: RefSeq, a predicted model, not a curated record
GAGAGUCUCCGAGAAGCUGCAGAAUUCAGAGAAAGUGUGGGCUGUUCCGGUGUUACCUGCUCCCCUCUGUACCUAAGGUCCCGCCGGUUUGCCUGCCCGCUCCGUCUGCUUUCACGGAGACACUCUGGUGUGUGAGGCGAUGGCCGCCUGCACUUGCCCUCGCCCUCUGUGCAAAACCCGUCAGCUCCUCCUGGGAUGUGUAUUUAUUGCUUCAGUUACCGCUCAUCCUUGCUUUAGUUAUUGCUCAUUUUUGGGUGCUAGUUACAGGUGUGCUUGUGACCAGCAGCACUUCCUCAGGGACGCCUUUGCUGUUCAACAGUGCUCUAGCAGAGCAGCAGUUAGUGCCACCACACACGUGGCUGUUGUGAGGGUGUUCCAUCUGUAAACCUGGUAAUCCUUCAUUUCUGACCCAGAUUAGCUCCAGUUUCCAUCAAUCAAAUCUUGUUAAUGUACCUUGCAUUUUCAUACCACAAUAUAUUUUCAGAAUAAGUGAAAAAACAAGGAGUUCUGUAAAUUAUGAGGACUGAAUAUUAUCAUACAGUUAUGGAAUCAGGAAAUGGUUUGGUUUGGAAGGGAUCUUAAAGGUUAUCUAGUUCUAGUCCCCACUACCACGGGCAGGGAUGUGACUGAGUACAUUACUUUUCUCAGUGCUCUAUCUGCCUUGUCCAUAUCUCUUUGAAAGCUAGGUAACAAAGUCACAAAUUGAAUUAAAACCAUCAUUGCAAGUAAAAAAAACUGGAGACCAAACUCCAUUCACUCAAAUGAAAUCCUUCAGGCCAGCUCACUGGUUACAUAAGCUGGACAUGCUGGCAAAGCCUUGGUUUGCUCUUUCUCAAAACAAGCAUCUUCAUGCUAUGUGGUUGAGCAAUACUUGCAAUUCAGCAUCAGGAGAGUAUAGAAAAUGAGCCUAAUUAAUCCCUGGUAGUAUUUGAAGUGGAACAGGUGCAGAAUCUGAGCUGGAGCUUAGGCUGACAACAGAUAUUGUUGAUUUAAGAGUGAGAAAAAAGACCCACAGACCCUCCAGGGACAGCUCUAAGAUACUACAGCUGUCAAAUAACAAAACACAAAACCAAGUUCAGAGAUGGCCUGGAAAUUGAGCCCCCUGUUGAUAAAAUAUUUCAAUUGCUCAGUUAAAUAGCUUAGAUGACUUGAACUUUGCUCUUCUGUCCUUCCCUUUUCUGUUUCCUCCUCAAAGGUGUAAAAUCUGGUUCUAGAAACCACUGUGCAAUUACGGAGUCAUUACAGUCCAGUAUAAAGUGUGUUGACCAAGGGCCUUUUUACAAGAACUUUUCAAAGCACUCGUUAUGGUGAGUUCUGAAGCCAAAAGAGGAGAGGAGUCGUCCAGUCAGGUUCCAAAGCAGUACUCUGAAAGAAAGAAGCACUGAAAUCAAUUUGCCAGUGACACAUGCAUGGAAAAGGAUAAAGUGAGACCUUAUCUGGGCAGAGAAUCAUGGAGAAUAGAAGGAGAAAGGAAGUUUGGAUGUAUGAGAAGCUACAAUGGCGCUCAAGUAUAUUGAUGUGAAAGAGAGUAAAGGAGAAGAAAGGGAGAAAGGCAGGUGGUAUGGCAGACACAUGGGGCAUAUGAUGGAGUAGGAAAAGCAGAGGGAUGAUGAGUGAAGCAGUUGCCACAAAUAAGGAAGCAAACGUGGAAGAACUGGAACAGUAAUUUGAAAAGCUGGAGACAUAUGGAUGAUUUUCAGGAGCAUGGAGAUAUGAGGAAUGCAGAAAGCAUGAGCAGCUGAAGAUUAGCAGGAUUAGGGGCUCCUGUGAGCCAGAUCAGAGGUCUCAGCAGGUUUUCAGUGCUUUGCUCUUUGUUUACACACCAGUGUGAAUGGGAGGGGUGGCAGUGCCCACUGCUUGGGAUAGGAGAACAGUCUUCGACAGCUUGGGACCAUUCUGUCCAACAGCCCAGUCACAGCAGCCACUCUGUAGAUAAAAGCAGGUUCUUCCCAAAAGCCUCAGGAAGGUCUGAAAAUGUACAACCCCCAUAAAAAUUAAAAUUGAUAGCUGGAGGUGUAUAGUUGGAAGGAGGGCAAGGUAAUUCUAUCAGAGAAGCUUGAAAAUAGUGAUCUUAUUUGCAUGCAGAUGACCAAGUAUGCAUAGUCCUUAUUUAAUGAUUGUAUUUCAAGUAAUAGAGCCAGCAAUGAAAAACAAGUGGUUAAGUAUUAUAAUGUUUGGUUGAGCCAUUGAAUUGCCUGUGACCUCAGAGCUAAGACUAACCUGGACUGUGGGGGUGAUCCUAAUUACAACCUUACUAUUAGAUAUGCAAUUACCAAUCUAUAAUUACGAGCUAAAUUUUAGAACACUGACUGUUCCUCUGUUUACAGUGAAAUCUGACUUCUGGAUAUAAGAAUACUACUACAUGUGACAAAAUUAAAAAUAAAUCCAUUCUUC